This 253-nucleotide ribosomal RNA is filed under the name uncultured bacterium. RNAcentral's name for it is "partial 16S ribosomal RNA". It matches the Rfam family "Bacterial small subunit ribosomal RNA", at positions 524 to 776 of the family's 1533-position model. The record is from RNAcentral.
UACGUAGGGGGCAAGCGUUGUCCGGAAUUAUUGGGCGUAAAGAGCGCGUAGGCGGCCCUGUAAGUCCGCUGUGAAAGUCAAGGGCUCAACCCUUGGAUGCCGGUGGAUACUGCAGGGCUAGAGUCCGGAAGAGGCGAGUGGAAUUCCCGGUGUAGCAGUGAAAUGCGUAGAGAUCGGGAGGAACAUCAGUUGCGAAGGCGGCUCUCUGGACCAGUACUGACGCUGAGGCACGAAAGCGUGGGGAGCAAACAGG